AGAUCAAAAGGGCCCAAAACAUGCCAAGUCCGAAGGGGCAUCACAUGAAAGCAGCAAUGCGGAUGGUGGCGACCGGCGCACGGGUGAGUAACACGUAUGCAACCUGCCUACAACAGGGGGAUAACCCGUUGAAAGACGGACUAAUACCCCAUAAUACAGGGGUCCCGCAUGGGAAUAUUUGUUAAAGAUUAAUCGGUUGUAGAUGGGCAUGCGUUCCAUUAGCUAGUUGGUGAGGUAACGGCCCACCAAGGCAACGAUGGAUAGGGGAACUGAGAGGUUUAUCCCCCACACUGGUACUGAGACACGGACCAGACUCCUACGGGAGGCAGCAGUGAGGAAUAUUGGUCAAUGGACGCAAGUCUGAACCAGCCACGUCGCGUGAAGGAAGACGGCCCUACGGGUUGUAAACUUCUUUUGUAAGGGAAUAAAGUGUAUUACAUGUACUAUUUUGCAUGUACCUUACGAAUAAGGAUCGGCUAACUCC
Molecule: ribosomal RNA, 484 nt
Filed under: bacterium enrichment culture clone bHCH1_D6
Lineage: Bacteria
Description: bacterial SSU rRNA
Rfam family: Bacterial small subunit ribosomal RNA
Source: RNAcentral